Molecule: ribosomal RNA, 292 nt
Filed under: uncultured Bacteroidota bacterium
Lineage: Bacteria; Pseudomonadati; Bacteroidota
Description: uncultured Bacteroidetes bacterium partial 16S ribosomal RNA
Source: RNAcentral
GGACUACCCGGGUUUCUAAUCCUGUUUGAUCCCCACGCUUUCGUGCCUCAGCGUCAAUAUAUGCGUAGUUUGCUGCCUUCGCAAUAGGUGUUCUAUGUCAUAUCUAAGCAUUUCACCGCUACAUGACAUAUUCCGCAAACCUCCACAAUAUUCAAGACAGAUAGUAUCAAUGGCAGUUUUCGGGUUAAGCCCAAAGAUUUCACCACUGACUUACCUGCCCGCCUACGCACCCUUUAAACCCAGUGAAUCCGGAUAACGCUUGCACCCUCCGUAUUACCGCGGCUGCUGGCAC